Molecule: ribosomal RNA, 253 nt
Filed under: uncultured bacterium
Lineage: Bacteria
Description: partial 16S ribosomal RNA
Rfam family: Bacterial small subunit ribosomal RNA
Source: RNAcentral
UACGUAGGGUGCGAGCGUUAAUCGGAAUUACUGGGCGUAAAGCGUGCGCAGGCGGUUCGCCAAGUCAGGUGUGAAGUCCCCGGGCUUAACCUGGGAAUUGCGCUUGAAACUAGCGGGCUUGAGUGUGGCAGAGGGGGGUGGAAUUCCACGUGUAGCAGUGAAAUGCGUAGAGAUGUGGAGGAACACCGAUGGCGAAGGCAGCCCCCUGGGUCAACACUGACGCUCAUGCACGAAAGCGUGGGGAGCAAACAGG